AAUCAGGUAGGACUACCCGCUGAACUUAAGCAUAUCAAUAAGCGGAGGAAAAGAAACUAACAAGGAUUCCCCUAGUAACUGCGAGUGAAGCGGGAAAAGCUCAAAUUUAAAAUCUGGCAGCAUUGGCUGUCCGAGUUGUAAUUUAGAGAAGUGUUACCCACGCUGGACCGUGUACAAGUCUCCUGGAACGGAGCGUCGUAGAGGGUGAGAAUCCCGUAUAUGACACGGACUACCAGGGUUUUGUGGUGCGCUCUCGAAGAGUCGAGUUGUUUGGGAAUGCAGCUCAAAAUGGGUGGUAAAUUCCAUCUAAAGCUAAAUAUAGGCGAGAGACCGAUAGCGAACAAGUACCGUGAGGGAAAGAUGAAAAGAACUUUGGAAAGAGAGUUAAACAGUACGUGAAAUUGUUAAAAGGGAAACGCUUGAUGUCAGUCGCGUCUUCCGGGGAUCAGCCUUGCUCUUUUGCUUGGUGCACUUCCCGGCGGAUGGGUCAGCAUCGAUUUUGACCGACGGAAAAAGUGCUUGGGAAUGUGGCAGCCUCGGCUGUGUUAUAGCCCUUGUUCGUAUACGUCGGUUGGGAUCGAGGAACUCAGCACGCCGCAAGGCCGGACUUUUAGUCACGUACGUGCUUAGGAUGCUGGCAUAAU
This 644-nucleotide ribosomal RNA is filed under the name uncultured Basidiomycota. RNAcentral's name for it is "LSU rRNA". It matches the Rfam family "Eukaryotic large subunit ribosomal RNA", at positions 9 to 635 of the family's 3401-position model. The record is from RNAcentral. Lineage: Eukaryota; Fungi; Basidiomycota.